This 484-nucleotide ribosomal RNA is filed under the name uncultured bacterium. RNAcentral's name for it is "partial 16S ribosomal RNA". It matches the Rfam family "Bacterial small subunit ribosomal RNA", at positions 29 to 507 of the family's 1533-position model. The record is from RNAcentral.
AUUGAACGCUGGCGGCAUGCUUUACACAUGCCAGUCGAACGGCAGCGCGGGCUUCGGCCUGGCGGCGAGUGGCGAACGGGUGAGUAAUACAUCGGAACGUGCCCAGUAGUGGGGGAUAGCUCGGCGAAAGCCGGAUUAAUACCGCAUACGACCUGAGGGUGAAAGCGGGGGAUCUUCGGACCUCGCGCUAUUGGAGCGGCCGAUGGCAGAUUAGCUAGUUGGUGGGGUAAAGGCCUACCAAGGCGACGAUCUGUAGCUGGUCUGAGAGGACGACCAGCCACACUGGGACUGAGACAAGGCCCAGACACCUACGGGAGGCAGCAGUGGGGAAUUUUGGACAAUGGGCGAAAGCCUGAUCCAGCAAUGCCGCGUGUGUGAUGAAGGCCUUCGGGUUGUAAAGCACUUUUGGCGGGAACGAAAAGGACUGUGCCAAUACCACGGUUCGAUGACGGUACCCGCAGAAUAAGCACCGGCUAACUACGUG